This 468-nucleotide ribosomal RNA is filed under the name uncultured bacterium. Its description in RNAcentral is "partial 16S ribosomal RNA". It matches the Rfam family "Bacterial small subunit ribosomal RNA", at positions 28 to 507 of the family's 1533-position model. The record is from RNAcentral.
GACGAACGCUGGCGGCGUGCUUAACACAUGCAAGUCGAACGGUGAAGCUCCAGCUUGCUGGAGUGGAUCAGUGGCGAACGGGUGAGUAACACGUGAGCAACCUGCCCCUGACUCUGGAAUAAGCGCUGGAAACGGCGUCUAAUACUGGAUACGAGAAGGGUCCGCAUGGGCACUUUCUGGAAAGUUUUUCGGUUGGGGAUGGGCUCGCGGCCUAUCAGCUUGUUGGUGAGGUAAUGGCUCACCAAGGCGACGACGGGUAGCCGGCCUGAGAGGGCGACCGGCCACACUGGGACUGAGACACGGCCCAGACUCCUACGGGAGGCAGCAGUGGGGAAUAUUGCACAAUGGGCGAAAGCCUGAUGCAGCGACGCCGCGUGAGGGAUGACGGCCUUCGGGUCGUAAACCUCUUUCAGCAGGGAAGAAGCGAAAGUGACGGUACCUGCAGAAGAAGCACCGGCUAACUACGUG